Molecule: ribosomal RNA, 402 nt
Filed under: Bacteroidota bacterium
Lineage: Bacteria; Pseudomonadati; Bacteroidota
Description: Bacteroidetes bacterium partial 16S ribosomal RNA
Rfam family: Bacterial small subunit ribosomal RNA
Source: RNAcentral
UGGGGAAUUUUGCACAAUGGGGGAAACCCUGAUGCAGCGACGCCGCGUGAUUUAGAAGGCCUUCGGGUUGUAAAAAUCUUUUCUAUGGGAAGAAAAUGACAGUACCAUAGGAAUAAGGACCGGCUAAUUACGUGCCAGCAGCCGCGGUAAUACGUAAGGUCCGAGCGUUGUCCGGAAUCAUUGGGCGUAAAGGGUACGUAGGCGGGUAAGCAAGUUAUAAGUGAAAUCCUGUAGCUCAACUACAGUAAGCUUUUAAAACUACUCAUCUUGAGAUAUGGAAGGGAAAGUAGAAUUCCUAGUGUAGCGGUGAAAUGCGCAGAUAUUAGGAGGAAUACCGGUGGCGAAGGCGACUUUCUGGCCAUAAUCUGACGCUGGGGUACGAAAGCGUGGGUAGCAAACAGG